ACAGGGAAGCAGCGGCCGCCAUUUCAGGGAGCUUGUCGACGCUGUCGCAGGGGUGGAUCCUGAGCUGCCGAAGCCGCCGUCCUGCUCUCCCGCGUGGGCUUCUCUAAUUCCAUUGUUUUUUUUAGAUUCUCUCGGGCCUAGCCGUCCUUGGAACCCGAUAUUCGGGCUGGGCGGUUCCGCGGCCUGGGCCUAGGGGCUUAACAGUAGCAACAGAAGCGGCGGCGGCGGCAGCAGCAGCAGCAGCAGCAGCAAUCUCUUCCCGAACACGAGCACCACAGGCGCCCGAAGGCCGGAACAGGCGUUUAGAGAAAAUGGCAGACGAUAUUGAUAUUGAAGCAAUGCUUGAGGCUCCUUACAAGAAGACUUGCCUAACGAUAUCUCACCUCUACUCCCAUGAAUUCACCUUUGAUUCCAGUGUGAACUGUCAAUCAUAAGGUAGUAAUUGAGUGACUUAUCGCUGUACCGUGGUCCCCUAGGUAAAAUGACUCAACUAAGAAUUACCACCUCCAGUUUGGUAUAGCAAAAAGGUGAAUGUAGUGGUUUGGGAAAAAGCAGGGGUCCAAGAAUAACAAAGCAUGACCAGUCUGUGGCAAGUUAAAUCUUCUAACAGUCUUAUAAGAAGAAAUGGGUGAGAUUUUAAAAUUUAUGUAUCUAUGUAAGACUGGUGAUAGUAAAUCUUAAAACAGUCCAGUGGCAAUCUGCUGCUCAGUUAAUAAUUACUAAAAUUCUUGGAUCCCUGAAUAGAAAUUAAAAAAAAAAAAUACAAGAGGCAGUAGAGUCAAUACAAGCUUAAUACAAGCUUAGAGUAAAUACAAGCUUAGAGUCACUUGAUGACUGUUUUACUGUUCUCCAUAUUGUUUU
This 861-nucleotide long non-coding RNA is filed under the name Homo sapiens (human). Its description in RNAcentral is "non-protein coding lnc-NFS1-1:4". The record is from RNAcentral. Lineage: Eukaryota; Metazoa; Chordata; Mammalia; Primates; Hominidae.